AGAGUUUUAGUUAAAUAUAAUAUUUAGGUUGCAUCUAAAAGGUACGUUCUGUAAACUUUA
This 60-nucleotide transfer RNA is filed under the name Megalothorax incertus. RNAcentral describes it as "tRNA-Ala". The record is from RNAcentral. Lineage: Eukaryota; Metazoa; Arthropoda; Collembola; Neelipleona; Neelidae.